AACAAACAAGGUCUACUGCUACCAGAGGUUCUCUCUGGGGACACCCCUUGAAGAUAGGAGCCCUCUAUCGCUCCCUCAGCCUUCGUGAUCUGUCCUUCCCUCCGUCCAGGCACACGGCAAUCCAGAGAAGUGGACGCGGUGGAGAUGAUGGCCUGGACAGUCUGUGAUCAGGCCAUGGGUGACAGUGCUGUCCCCUCAGAUUUGUGGCUUUAUUGUAUCUGUGCAUUCUCAUUGGGGCUGUGAGAGCCAGGUGGAGGGCGGAAGCUUGGGUAGAAAGGGAAAGGGGAUGGGCUCUGUGCCACUCUCCACAAGGUCCUAAAGCUCAGGUCCAAGCAAAAGGCUCCAUAACACCUUUCAACCUCCCUCUUCCACUCAAUACACUUCUAAUGGUUACUUCCGCCAUAUUAAUAAACAACAAUAAAAAUUCCAGGUUCCCCGAUGCUUACUACACAGGAGCUUCAACUCCAGGGUUUUUGUUCCCCCCGACUUUUCUUAAAAAGCCUCUGACGGAAACUCCCUCUACGUAUCUUUCAAAUAAGGGAACCCAGGCUAAAAAGCCCCGUCCAUCAGCCUGACCACAGUCGUACAACUCAUGAGUGUUGGAGUUGAGAGGGAGUCCCUGCAGCUGUGAGUCAGUUUCCCACCCCGAGCUUCAGCCAUGACGGGCUGCCAUGGGGGCCCAAAGCGAGAGCUCCGGCUGGUCAUGGACUGAAAACUGCAACCGUGGGCCCAAAUAAAUGUCUUUCCUUACA
Chinchilla lanigera (long-tailed chinchilla) is the source of this 752-nucleotide long non-coding RNA. RefSeq lists it as uncharacterized. Lineage: Eukaryota; Metazoa; Chordata; Mammalia; Rodentia; Chinchillidae. The record is from RefSeq and is a predicted model, not a curated record. The transcript has 2 exons.